RNAcentral lists this transfer RNA (84 nucleotides) under Lacticaseibacillus manihotivorans. RNAcentral describes it as "Lactobacillus manihotivorans tRNA-Leu". It matches the Rfam family "tRNA". From Rfam's summary of the family: Transfer RNA (tRNA) molecules are approximately 80 nucleotides in length. Their secondary structure includes four short double-helical elements and three loops (D, anti-codon, and T loops). Further hydrogen bonds mediate the characteristic L-shaped molecular structure. tRNAs have two regions of fundamental functional importance: the anti-codon, which is responsible for specific mRNA codon recognition, and the 3' end, to which the tRNAs corresponding amino acid is attached (by aminoacyl-tRNA synthetases). tRNAs cope with the degeneracy of the genetic code in two manners: having more than one tRNA (with a specific anti-codon) for a particular amino acid; and 'wobble' base-pairing, i.e. permitting non-standard base-pairing at the 3rd anti-codon position. RNAcentral also lists the same sequence under 1 other name. The record is from RNAcentral. Lineage: Bacteria; Bacillati; Bacillota; Bacilli; Lactobacillales; Lactobacillaceae.
GCCGGCGUGGCGGAAUUGGCAGACGCGCCAGACUCAAAAUCUGGUUCUAGCAAUAGAGUAUCGGUUCGACCCCGAUCGCCGGUA